UACGGAGGGUGCGAGCGUUAUCCGGAAUUACUGGGUUUAAAGGGUGCGUAGGCGGCCAGGUAAGUCAGGAGUGAAAGUUUGCGGCUCAACCGUAAAAUUGCUUUUGAUACUGCCAGGCUAGAAUUAGGAUGAGGUCAGCGGAAUGUGGCAUGUAGCGGUGAAAUGCGUAGAUAUCUGGAGGAACACCGGUGGCGAAGGCGGCAUCCUGGACCAAUACUGACACUGAGGAGCGAAAGCCAGGGGAGCAAACGGG
This 253-nucleotide ribosomal RNA is filed under the name uncultured bacterium. RNAcentral describes it as "partial 16S ribosomal RNA". It matches the Rfam family "Bacterial small subunit ribosomal RNA", at positions 524 to 776 of the family's 1533-position model. The record is from RNAcentral.